Long non-coding RNA from Chiloscyllium plagiosum (whitespotted bambooshark), 617 nucleotides. RefSeq lists it as uncharacterized. The record is from RefSeq and is a predicted model, not a curated record. NCBI's taxonomy places the organism in Eukaryota, Metazoa, Chordata, Chondrichthyes, Orectolobiformes, Hemiscylliidae.
GCACUCAUCUUUUCCUCCUUUCCUCUCAGCCAAAGUCUAUCAUUUCAGCGAGUUCAAAAAUUCUUGUAAUUUUUCUGCUGAGUCAAAGUUGUUGACAGUUCCCCAUAAUUGAAACGUAGUACUGCCAGGUACAUCAGAGAAUAUUGAAUGUUUAAACCUCUUCAUUUUUUUCUUUAAAUCAUCAAAGAUCUUUCUUGUCUUAAUAAUGGCCCCAGAAUAGUCAUGAAGAAACACUAUCUUCGAACCUUUAUAAGCCAAAGCCUGUGGAUCUUCUCCCAGUCUUCUGGCUGUUUCUAUUAUUAAUUGCUUUUCUUUGUAAUAUUGGAGUCGCACUAGGACCGGGAGGAGGCGCUGGGCCGACCCGGACCUGAUCAUUGCGAUCCAGUAAGCCUGCUCCACACUCACCCAGCCCAACACAACCUCCAGCCCCAGCAACUCUGGAAGCCACCUCUUCAGAAAAGUUGCAAGAUUUUCACCUUCUUCACGCUCCGCUCCAGGAUGGCUCUCCAGGAGUUCCCCAGGGUCGUGUCCUGGUGUCCAACCAUCUUCAGCUGCUCCAUCAAUGAUCUUCCCUCCAUCAUAAAGUCAGAAGGUGGUGCAGUGCCACACCGCCCUGU